AGCUUUCGUGAAUCCAUCCACGGGCCACCCAAUUUUCUCCUGCUCCGGCCCAUACAAAAUCUCAAAAUCCUCCAGAUGAAGGUCGCUCGGCCCAAACCUAGUAGUGUCUAGGGUUUUACCCUCUCCAACACGACGAGGUUUUGCUCCGACACCGACGCGACAGCCGACAAGGCAGGGGGAGAGGCCGAGAGGGGAAAUGGCAUCGUUGUCCCGCACCGCUGCUGCCGCUGUCGUGGCCCUGAGGUCGGCGGUCCGCUCCGCGCCCCUUACCGGCCGCGUCCUCGGAGCGCCACUACCUUCCUUUGCCUCGCCUUCCGCUACCCGCUCCGCCCGGAUCCUCCGCAGGUCGGCGGCCGCGGCGUCGGCGGGGCUGGAAACGCUAAUGCCGCUGCACAGCGCGGUGGCUGCCGCGCGGCUUAGGUCCUGCAUCGCCGUCGACUCCUCCUGCUGGUGCUCGCUCUCACAAGGUUUAAACAAGCGCAUCUGACCAUGGCUAGGAGCUGAGCAGAAGAGAAGUGAGGACACUGAGUUAAAACGAAGUCAUUUUUUUGUUGCAGAUAUUUGUAACAUGAUAUGCUUUGCCUUUAUGACAGCGAGGCGAGCUGCACCUGAAGAAACAAAAGAAUCUUAGGAAUUACAAACAAGGGCUGUACUGUAAUAAUGUGGUUCUUGUAAACCAAUUUUGCCUUAGAAUUCUGUAACUUGAAUCAUCCACAGAUGUGCGACUGUCUUUUGUUUAUGUGGAUCUAUGAAUUACCUGCCGCUCCUCGUUUGAACUA
This is an RNA transcript of Zea mays, 779 nucleotides long. RefSeq lists it as uncharacterized. The transcript is spliced from 4 exons. NCBI's taxonomy places the organism in Eukaryota, Viridiplantae, Streptophyta, Magnoliopsida, Poales, Poaceae. The record is from RefSeq and is marked validated.